RNAcentral lists this ribosomal RNA (247 nucleotides) under Bacillus sp. ISL-26. RNAcentral's name for it is "partial 16S ribosomal RNA". It matches the Rfam family "Bacterial small subunit ribosomal RNA", at positions 1 to 238 of the family's 1533-position model. Lineage: Bacteria; Bacillati; Bacillota; Bacilli; Caryophanales; Bacillaceae. The record is from RNAcentral.
CCCUCGGAGAGUUUGAUCCUGGCUCAGGACGAACGCUGGCGGCGUGCCUAAUACAUGCAAGUCGAGCGGACAGAUGGGAGCUUGCUCCCUGAUGUUAGCGGCGGACGGGUGAGUAACACGUGGGUAACCUGCCUGUAAGACUGGGAUAACUCCGGGAAACCGGGGCUAAUACCGGAUGCUUGUUUGAACCGCAUGGUUCAAACAUAAAAGGUGGCUUCGGCUACCACUUACAGAUGGACCCGCGGCG